GUAGGUGGCAAGCGUUGUCCGGAAUUAUUGGGCGUAAAGCGCGCGCAGGGUGGUUCUUUUAAAGUCUGAUGUGAAAGACCCCCGGCUCAACCCGGGGGGGGGGAGGGUCAUUGGGAAACUGGGGGGGAACUUGAGUGCAGGAGAGGAAAGUGGAAUUCCACGUGUAGCGGUGAAAUGCGUAGAUAUGUGGAGGAACACCAGUGGCGAAGGCGACUUUCUGGCCUGUAACUGACACUGAGGCGCGAAAGCGUGGGGAGCAAACAGGAUUAGAUACCCUGGUAGUCCACGCCGUAAACGAUGAGUGCUAAGUGUUGGGGGGUUUCCGCCCCUCAGUGCUGCAGCUAACGCAUUAAGCACUCCGCCUGGGGAGUACGGUCGCAAAGACUGA
This 388-nucleotide ribosomal RNA is filed under the name uncultured organism. RNAcentral's name for it is "partial 16S ribosomal RNA". It matches the Rfam family "Bacterial small subunit ribosomal RNA", at positions 527 to 897 of the family's 1533-position model. The record is from RNAcentral.